RNAcentral lists this ribosomal RNA (448 nucleotides) under uncultured Desulfovibrio sp. RNAcentral describes it as "bacterial SSU rRNA". It matches the Rfam family "Bacterial small subunit ribosomal RNA", at positions 355 to 794 of the family's 1533-position model. Lineage: Bacteria; Pseudomonadati; Thermodesulfobacteriota; Desulfovibrionia; Desulfovibrionales; Desulfovibrionaceae. The record is from RNAcentral.
UGGGGAAUAUUGCGCAAUGGGCGAAAGCCUGACGCAGUGACGCCGCGUGAGGGAUGAAGGUUUUCGGAUCGUAAACCUCUGUCAGAAGGGAAGAAUGAUACAGAUGUGAACAAUGUCUGUAAGUGACGGUACCUUCAAAGGAAGCACCGGCUAACUCCGUGCCAGCAGCCGCGGUAAUACGGAGGGUGCGAGCGUUAAUCGGAAUUACUGGGCGUAAAGCGCACGUAGGCUGUUUGUCAAGUCAGGGGUGAAAUCCCGCGGCUCAACCGCGGAAUUGCCUUUGAAACUGGCGAACUGGAGUGUCGGAGAGGGUGGCGGAAUUCCAGGUGUAGGAGUGAAAUCCGUAGAUAUCUGGAGGAACACCAGUGGCGAAGGCGGCCACCUGGACGAUAACUGACGCUGAGGUGCGAAAGCGUGGGUAGCAAACAGGAUUAGAUACCCUGGUAGU